Molecule: ribosomal RNA, 433 nt
Filed under: uncultured bacterium
Lineage: Bacteria
Description: partial 16S ribosomal RNA
Rfam family: Bacterial small subunit ribosomal RNA
Source: RNAcentral
AACGAACGCUGGCGGCGUGCCUAACACAUGCAAGUCGAACGAGAAGUCCGGGCCUUGGGGCGCACGGGUACGUGAGGAGGGGGAAGCUGCCCGUAGGUUACGUAUCCCUCACCGAAGGGGGUGCUAAUAAAGGAUAGUGUCUUCGGGCCAAAGAUUUUUUGCCAUUGGAUGGGCCCGCGUUGGAUUAGCUGGUUGGUAGGGUAAAAGCCUACCAAGGCGAGGAUGCAGAGCUGGUCUGAGAGGAUGAUCAGCCACGCUGGGACUACGACACGGCCCAGACUCGUACGCAAGGCAGCAGUGGGGAAUAUUGGACAAGUGGCGAAGGCCUGAUCCCGCAAUGCCGCGUAAGUGAUGAAGGCCUUAGUGUUGUAAAGCUCUUUUACCCGGGAUGAUAAUGACGGUACCGGGAGAAUAAGCUCCGGCUAACUCCGUG